RNAcentral lists this long non-coding RNA (992 nucleotides) under Anas platyrhynchos platyrhynchos (common mallard). RNAcentral's name for it is "lncRNA (ENSAPLG00000017739.1)". The record is from RNAcentral. Lineage: Eukaryota; Metazoa; Chordata; Aves; Anseriformes; Anatidae.
AUGUUGUUUUGGAUGGAAAUAGGUCAUUGUGGAAGAAACUUCUGUUAUACUUGGUAUCUUGCUUCUCUUCGGAGCCGCAAGGGUCAGAUAGGUCAUUUUGGUAGGCAUACUUAUAUAUUUUUUUUUUCUUUAUUUUUUUUUUUUUUUUUCAGCUGGGAACCUAAAUUGUUGUGUUGUGUUGUUGUUUUUUUUUUUUGUUUUUCUUUCUGUUUUAAGGAAGAUGUGAGACUCCUGAGCAUCAAAGGUUGGAGCCUUCCCCUCUACCCCCAGCCCGGCUCACAGCGCUGCCGUGUGCCCAUGAGGCUAUGAAAAAACAGAAGUUCUAAAGGAAAGAUUUUUUUUUUCUUCCUACUGUGCUAAGCCAAGCCAGAGUCCCGUGGCUUCUUGCUCAGCCCAGGCAGUGAUGGGAUCGGGUGCUGUGGGGUGCAGAGGUGGGCUGGGGCACUGGCUUGGAACAGCUUUGCUCUGUUUUUCUCUGUGCAGCUAAGUUUGAAUGGCUGCUAGAGCUGGUCAGAAAUGGAAAAUCACUAUAGGAUGGCUUUGGGGUGGGAAUCUUUUAUGUCAGUUGUUUAUGUUCUGUGGACUUCUAAAGGGAAAAGUGGGCCUGUUUAAAAUAUAUAUAUAUAUAUAAAAAAGAAUCAGAUACACUUCUAUAAACUUGUCUAUUUUUAAAAAUAUUUCUUGAUAAUUGCUGAGAAAUGUUUUCCACUUUCAAUAGAAAUGUGAAGAAUUGUCAGAAUCAAUAGCGAUAAUGCAGAUUUACCAGUAGCUGAUACUAAACAGAGGGUUUUUUUUUUUGAGAACUCCUUCCUUUAAAAGGCUUGCACUUCAGAGGUCUGUUAAAUCAAAGCUGAUGCUCACAGAUUUCUGAUAGCAUGUUCAAAAAAAGGGCUGUUAAUAUCUCCAAAGUUGGGAUUAGCUUAAAUUUCCUACUAGGGAUUGUGGUGCAGAAAGUAAAUAAAAUAGUGAGAAAUUAAAUCUGAAAUGGAAUG